Molecule: ribosomal RNA, 301 nt
Filed under: uncultured bacterium
Lineage: Bacteria
Description: partial 16S ribosomal RNA
Rfam family: Bacterial small subunit ribosomal RNA
Source: RNAcentral
CAGUAGCCGCGGGAAUACGAAGGGGGCUAGCGUUGUUCGGAUUUACUGGGCGUAAAGCGCACGUAGGCGGACAUUUAAGUCAGGGGUGAAAUCCCAGAGCUCAACUCUGGAACUGCCUUUGAUACUGGGUGUCUGGAGUAUGGAAGAGGUAAGUGGAAUUCCGAGUGUAGAGGUGAAAUUCGUAGAUAUUCGGAGGAACACCAGUGGCGAAGGCGGCUUACUGGUCCAUUACUGACGCUGAGGUGCGAAAGCGUGGGGAGCAAACAGGAUUAGAUACCCCCGUAGUCCCUGUCUCUUAUAC